CCUACGGGUGGCAGCAGUGAGGAAUAUUGGUCAAUGGGCGCAAGCCUGAACCAGCCAAGUCGCGUGAGGGAUGACUGCCCUACGGGUUGUAAACUUCUUUUAUAAAGGAAUAAAGUGAGGCACGUGUGCCUUUUUGUAUGUACUUUAUGAAUAAGGAUCGGCUAACUCCGUGCCAGCAGCCGCGGUAAUACGGAGGAUCCGAGCGUUAUCCGGAUUUAUUGGGUUUAAAGGGUGCGUAGGUGGGUUGUUAAGUCAGUUGUGAAAGUCUGUGGCUCAACCGUAGAACUGCAAUUGAUACUGGCAGUCUUGAGUAUGGUUGAGGGAGGCGGAAUGCGUGGUGUAGCGGUGAAAUGCUUAGAGAUCACGAAGAACACCGAUUGCGAAGGCAGCCUACUAAACAAAGACUGACGCUGAUGCUCGAAAGCGUGGGGAUCAAACAGGAUUAGAUACCCGUGUAGUC
This 460-nucleotide ribosomal RNA is filed under the name uncultured bacterium. RNAcentral's name for it is "partial 16S ribosomal RNA". It matches the Rfam family "Bacterial small subunit ribosomal RNA", at positions 338 to 795 of the family's 1533-position model. The record is from RNAcentral.